ACUGCGGGCGUUAGAAAUUUGAGUGGAUUUGACUCUAGUACGAGAGGACCGAGUUGAACUGACCUCUGGUGCACCAGUUGUUCCGCCAGGAGCAUUGCUGGGUAGCUAUGUCGGGAUGGGAUAAGCGCUGAAAGCAUAUAAGCGCGAAACCCGCCACAAGAUGAGAUUUCUUUAAAGGGUCGUAGGAGAUGACUACGUUGAUAGGUCAUAGGUAUAAGUGCAGUAAUGUAUGUAGCCGAGUGAUACUAAUAGCCCAUAGGCUUGCGCA
RNAcentral lists this ribosomal RNA (268 nucleotides) under Polaribacter sp. BACL8 MAG-120419-bin8. RNAcentral's name for it is "partial 23S ribosomal RNA". It matches the Rfam family "Bacterial large subunit ribosomal RNA", at positions 2644 to 2925 of the family's 2925-position model. Lineage: Bacteria; Pseudomonadati; Bacteroidota; Flavobacteriia; Flavobacteriales; Flavobacteriaceae. The record is from RNAcentral.